Molecule: ribosomal RNA, 253 nt
Filed under: uncultured bacterium
Lineage: Bacteria
Description: partial 16S ribosomal RNA
Rfam family: Bacterial small subunit ribosomal RNA
Source: RNAcentral
UACGGAGGGUGCAAGCGUUAUCCGGAUUCACUGGGUUUAAAGGGUGCGUAGGUGGGUUGGUAAGUCAGUGGUGAAAUCCCCGAGCUUAACUUGGGAACUGCCAUUGAUACUAUCAGUCUUGAAUACCGUGGAGGUCAGCGGAAUAUGCCAUGUAGCGGUGAAAUGCUUAGAUAUGACAUAGAACACCAAUUGCGAAGGCAGCUGGCUACACGGAUAUUGACACUGAGGCACGAAAGCGUGGGGAUCAAACAGG